GGGGUCAUAGUUCAAUUGGUAGAACAUAAAUUUUGCAUAUUUAGAACAUGGGUUCAAGUCCCAUUGACUCCA
RNAcentral lists this transfer RNA (72 nucleotides) under Magnusiomyces fungicola. Its description in RNAcentral is "Saprochaete fungicola tRNA-Ala". It matches the Rfam family "tRNA". Rfam says of the family: Transfer RNA (tRNA) molecules are approximately 80 nucleotides in length. Their secondary structure includes four short double-helical elements and three loops (D, anti-codon, and T loops). The record is from RNAcentral. Lineage: Eukaryota; Fungi; Ascomycota; Dipodascomycetes; Dipodascales; Dipodascaceae.